GCCAGGAGCAGUGGCGCACACCUGUAAUCCCAGUAGCUCUGGAGGCUGAGGCAGGAGGAUUUCGAGUUCAAAGUGAGCCUCAGCACUUAGCAAGGCCCUUAGUGAGACCCUGUCUCUA
Molecule: small RNA, 118 nt
Filed under: Marmota monax (woodchuck)
Lineage: Eukaryota; Metazoa; Chordata; Mammalia; Rodentia; Sciuridae
Source: RNAcentral